This 2738-nucleotide long non-coding RNA is filed under the name Homo sapiens (human). RNAcentral's name for it is "HSALNT0271040". The record is from RNAcentral. Lineage: Eukaryota; Metazoa; Chordata; Mammalia; Primates; Hominidae.
UCAGAUGCCUAUACAACAGCUUAGCCACUUGCCAAGGAGUCAUCAGCCUUGAUCCUGCUUCUGAAGAUAUCAGAGGGAGUCAUCAGAAGCACGUCCUAAUUAUAUUACCAGCUACUCUCCAAGAAGCUACUCUAAGAGAAAACCUGCAAAGUGCAGCAGUCCCAGAAAAGAAGAUGAAGAUUAAAGAAGAAGGAGGAUAUUUAGAAAUGAUUAAUGUUGUACAAAACCCCAGAUAAGAUGACACAUUUCCGUAGUCUGCAAACUUACCCAUGAAUGUAGGAGAUCCAUAUCUGAGCAGGAAGACUUGAGACGUGUGUGGCGAAUACAAGAGGAGCAGUGGUCCCAGGGUCCAACUUGUGCUAUUUGGAAAUCAAGACAUGUCCAGAGAGGGUUUUCAGGAAAAGGCUUCCAGUGAUGCCACAUCCAAAGCUUAAUUGCUCCACUGAAACACUGGCAACAAAAAUCGUCUUCUCUUCUCCCUUUGUGAAAAAGGCUUUCACUUAAUGUGGAGAAAGGUAUUAUAUACCAGGGAAAUGGAACUUUGUAUAAAUGAUUUUCCCCCAAGAGGAACUAAAGCAUUUGGAAGGUAUCUGAAUUCAGAUGAGGACCUAAUUUAUUACUGAGGACCUAAUCUACGGGAGGUGCAAAGAAGAAUGAAAUAUUGUGUCUGCCUGUGAUGCACAUUGCUUAAUAUGAAUACUAAGAAAAAUAGUCAUCUGUUUCUGUUCCUGUCCCCCUCACUGCAAGGGCACUUCAGGACUGCAGCAAAGGGCAUUUGAUGGAGUCUAUAACAGAAAAGAAAGUCCUCCUCUGGAAUUUCUGACUAUAUUUCAUUGGCCACAACUGGAUUCCAUGGCCACCCCUAACUACUGGGGAGGCUGAGAAUUCAAAUGCUGAAAAUUGCAAUCUCCAUAGUGAAAGACACGAAGAAAGAAAUUGAUUGAAAUGGGUUAAUUAAUUCAAUUAGCAACACUUUUUCUCAGCAAAGGAGCUGAGAAAGAAAAUGUUUUGGUUCAGUCCUGGGUAGGGGUGCUUGACAGUGCUUAAUAUCACCAGCACUGAAGGUAAUAAAUAUUAUCUCUCUUUUCUAUCAUGAAUAUGAAUGAUACUCUGAAGGCUGAAUGCAACCUCAGAAUUUAAGUGAGAAAUGAGGCAUGCAACACUUUUGAAAAUAUAUUAGCCCAAAGUCUGUAUUACUGCAUAUUUUAUUCCCCUUUUAAUAUGCUACAAAAGGUUUGAGCCAUCAGCUGAAUGCUGCCAGAGAAGAACAAACAAGAACAAGAAUGCAAAAAUAAAUGCUGGGAGUCAAGUUUUCCCAAGAUGUUCUUUAUAGUUGGUGUAUGAUCACAUUUCUAAGCAGACUGCUUUGCUUCAAGCUCUACCCAUCAGCACUUCUUCCACAAGCCUGGUUCUCCAGGAAGUUUAUCCCGGGCUAACUAUGCAGAAAUAUACGUGGGGCAAAGUGGGUACUGGAGAAAGCAUUCCAUGAACUCCUUCUUUUGCCCUGCUACCUGAUUCUGUGUAACUUCUUCCAUGCCUGAGAUCUUCUCUUCCAUUUUGAGAACAUGAAGGAAACAUGUUUGCUUAAGUACGUUCUGGUUGGGAAUUAAAUAUUUAAUUCUGAUCAUUUUUAGUGUCUGAAAUAUAUUUCGUAAGCAUGGUCAUAUGAUAAUUAUAACUAUAAAAUGUUUUACAUUCUACAAACUUUAUCCCAUGUUACUAAUAUUCAGGAAAUGAUCAUAGGAAAAUAUUUGCACUAGGAUACUAUUCAUUAUUUUAACUCUUUCUAUUUAUACAUAGUUUUAAGAAAUUCUACAAUGAAUUUAUAUCAUCUUCAUAAUAGGGAACAAAAAUAAACUUCACUUUUUCCAUGAGGCUGUUGUCUUCCAAGACCAUACCUAAGCCAAGUUUGGGUUUAUAAAGUCAAAAUCAUGAGAUAUCCCAUCUGUGAACAAAUACUCAUGGCUAUAAUUUGGACGUUUGUUGUUUCCAAACUUCAUGUUGAAAUUUGACCCUCAAUAUUGGAUGUGGGGUGAUAUGGUUUCAUUGUGUCCUCACAAAAAAUCUCAUCUUGAAUUGUAAUCCCCAUAAUUCCCACGUGUCAAGGGCGGGAUCAGAUGGAGGUAACUGGAUCAUGGAGGCAGUUUCCCCCAUGCUGCUGUCAUAAUAAUGAGUGACUCUCAUGAGAUCUGAUGGUUUUAUAAGCAUCUGGCAUUGCCCUUGCUUGCACUCACUUCAUCCUGCCACCCUGUGAAGAAGGUGCCUGCUUCUCCUUAGCCUUCUGCCAUGGUUGUAAGUUUCCUGAGGCCUCCCCAGCAAGGCAAAACUGUGAGUCAAUUAAACCUCUUUCCUUUAUAAAUUACUUAGCCUCGGGUAUUUCUUCAUAACAUUGUGAGAGAGGACUAAUACAUGGGGCCUAAUGGCAGGUGUUUGGGUUAUGGGGCUGAAUCCUUCUACAAUAGGUUAAUGUUCUCCCUCAGUGGUGAGUUCUCACUCUAUUAGUUCCUGCGAGAGCCAGUUGUUUCAAAGAGCUAGGGGUGCACCUCUCCCUGCCUUGCUUCCUCUUUUGCCUUGGAAUCUCUGGGUCCCCUUCACCUUCAGCCAUGAGUGGAAGCAGCCUGAGACCUUCACCAAAUGCAGAUGCCCAAUCUUGAACUUUCCAGCCAUCAUAAUUGUGACCCAAAUAAACCUUUUUCUUUAUAAACUACCCGGUCUCAAGUAUUUCUUUAUUUUGUUUU